This 69-nucleotide ribosomal RNA is filed under the name Klebsiella oxytoca. Its description in RNAcentral is "partial 16S ribosomal RNA". It matches the Rfam family "Bacterial small subunit ribosomal RNA", at positions 1 to 67 of the family's 1533-position model. Lineage: Bacteria; Pseudomonadati; Pseudomonadota; Gammaproteobacteria; Enterobacterales; Enterobacteriaceae. The record is from RNAcentral.
UUAAAUUAAAGAGUUUGAUCAUGGCUCAGAUUGAACGCUGGCGGCAGGCCUAACACAUGCAAGUCGAAC